GCUCUCCUCUCCUGCUAAGCUCUGUUUCCUGGAAGUAAUUAAAACCUUCUGCCACUCCCAUAGCCACUGCUGCUGCUGGAACCACCAUAGCCACCUUGGUUUCAUGGUUUGGCAGAGUAUUGGCCUCCACCACCAUACGGGCCAGGGCUUCUGCCUCCAAAACUUCCUCCUCGUAGGGGCCCAAAAUGUCAAGAUUGAUUGUUGUAAUGGCCAAAAUCAUUAUAGCUUCCACCACCUCCAGAGUUGCUUCCAUCAUUACCAAAUCCGUUACAGCCGUCCCCACUGCACCUAUCCACCAGCACCUCGACUACCACCAAGGCCACCUCGCCCACCGAAGUUUCCUCCACGGCCGGAGUUGUCAUUCCCACCAAAACCACCUCUAUGGCCACCACCAAAAUUUCCAGAACCACUUCGACCUCUUUGGCUGGAUGAAGCACCAGCCAUCUGUUGCUAAAUAGAGGUUUCCUUACUUCACAGUUGUGGCCGUUCACAGUAUGGUAUUUCUGAAUGACAGUCUUGUCUACAGAUUCAUGGUUGCCAAAUGUUACAAAAGCAAAGCCUCUCUUUUUGCCACUGCCUCGGUCGGUCAUGAUUUCAAUCACUUCAAUUUUCCCAUGCUGUUCAAAAUAAUCUUUUAGGUGAUGUUUUUCAGUGUCUUCUUUAAUGCUACUGACAAAAAUCUUUUUCACAGUUAAGUGGGCACCAGGUCUUUGAGAAUCUUCUCUCGAGACAGCCCUCUUUGGUUCUACAACUCUUCCAUCCACCUUGUGUGGCCUUGCAUUCGUGGCUGCGUCCACCUCUUCCAUAGUGGCAUGCACACGUGACAAACCCAAAGCCUCUGGAGCACUUGGUGUUGGGAUCUCUCAUUACCACACAGUCCGUAAGCAUUCCCCACUGCUCAAAAUGGCUCCUCAGAGUCUGUCUCAUUGGUUGUUUCAAAGCUCAAACCUCCGAUGAAAAGCUUCUGCAGCUGUUCAGGCUCUUUGGGAGACUCUGACUUAGACAUGAUGGCGGUGGGUGGGGAGACUUUCACAAUGCUUACUCGGCGGCGUCCACGGGCAGAAAG
Molecule: long non-coding RNA, 1066 nt
Filed under: Lynx pardinus (Iberian lynx)
Lineage: Eukaryota; Metazoa; Chordata; Mammalia; Carnivora; Felidae
Source: RNAcentral